Long non-coding RNA from Brassica napus (rape), 1987 nucleotides. RefSeq lists it as uncharacterized. Lineage: Eukaryota; Viridiplantae; Streptophyta; Magnoliopsida; Brassicales; Brassicaceae. The record is from RefSeq and is a predicted model, not a curated record. The transcript is spliced from 2 exons.
CAAUUGCUCUAAUUUGAAGUAUUUUUCGCUUCUAGUGUCCAAUUGUACGUAGUCGCACUCCCGUUUUCUUAAAGUGUUAUAUAAGCAGGAUUAUGGCUAAUCAUACCUAAUAUUAUAUGGUGUUAUUUUCUAACGUGUGCCGUCCAUCAUCCUAAUCUUAAGUGAGUUAAGAUUUGAGAGAGGCGUAUUAAAGAACGAGGGUCUAAAGCAGUAAAACCCCAAGAAAGGGACUGCAAACAUUUAUCAGAUGGUGAAAAUACUAUUUCAGUAAAGACAACGUUGUAUUUUAAUGUCUAUGUAACACAAAGAAAGACCUUUAUACCAUUAUGUUGCCACUACAAAUAAUAUUCUCGUGAGAUACCAAAACUAACCCUUUUCUUGCUUUCCUGAUUUCUUUGUUCUCAUUUAUUUGUUCAAAACUUGCUUUCUGAUUUUAAAAGAAUAUUACAUAUAUUAAAAACAAAGAAAUACGAACCAUUAUGUGUCACGGACGUGUCAUUACAAAUCCCAUGUGUCAAAAAGUUAUAACGGCGAUUCCUAAUCUAUAUUGUGCCACUCCACAAUGCUUACCAGCAUGUCACACUCCUUGCUGAGGUCAGUGGAAGACGGAAACGAGUCCAGACUCUCAAUCAACUUUUGGUUUCACCUAUAAAGAGUCCAACCGUUUCCCGUUAACUCAUCAAAUUCACAUCAACCAUUUUCUCUUCGACGCAAAAUUUUGCAUUUUCCUUGUCCUUUAUCAAAAGAAAGAACUAUGUUUUCUGUCUCUGAAUUUCAUUUUUGCACAUAUGAUAACGUCAAAGGAGGCGACAUUACUAACAAUGAUGAAGCAGUUCAGUAUGCUCAAGCUGUGUUUUCAGAAAACGAUGGCGACGACGAUGACGUUAUCUAUGACUAUGCUCCAGCAGCAUGAGUGGAUCAUUUCUUUUGUUAGGCCAAAGUGUAGAUUAUCUGGUUCUAUACUUACCAAGAUUUUGUACUCCUUUAUGAAUAAUUUUAUGCCCUAGAGCUUAUUUAUUAUAGUCGCUUUCUCAAUAAAUCUUUGAACGUUUGAUUCCCUCGACUGCUCUUAAUCUCAGGAAUAUAACUGAACAAAAUGUUUCGUUGCAGUUUUCAAAAAUAUGCGGCAGUUUAGCUUUGUUUAUUAUGGACGAUUUUAAAAUAAAUGUCAAAUUUCAGAAAACACAAAGAAUUAUAAAAAUAAUUUUUUUAUUGUUUUGGAAAUUUCUUAUAACUAAAACUUUUAUUAUUUCUCUUAGAUCUUAUGGAACAAUCUCCGUUAGAUUUCUAUUUAUAUGAAAAACAAAUUUUUUUCUAUGUGGAAUUCACUACAAGAAAACAUACCACAAUUUGACAACAUUUCUGACCAAAAAAAUGAUCAAGAAUAAUUAUAACCUUAUUCUGACUACUUUGUGAUGACUAAGAAAAAUGGUUAGAAUUUUUUAACCAAAACAUAUAGUCAAGAAAUAGUCAGAAAACAUAUAACAUUUUGACCAUAUUUCUGACCAACAUAAAUAGUCAAAAAUAUUUAUGACCUUAUUUUAACCACAUCAUGAUGAAUAAGAAAAUUGGUCAAAAAAUAGUUAGAACUUUUUAACCAAAAAUAUAGUCAAAAAGUGAUCAGCAAAUUUUGACCACAUUGUUACAAUUUUCUGACCAUAUCCUUCAUUUAACCUAGAUCUCAUAUUAUCUUUUCUCAUUUUCAUGAAUCAAGUUUCGUCCUCAAACGGCCACACUUGUAUGAGCCUUGCUCCAGUCAUAGUUCCUCUACUCAUUGCACGAAGCUCGAGCAUGAAGAUUAGGAAUGGAUCUGUUGAGACAAUGAAGAAGAAGAAGAAGAAGAAGAAGAAGAAGAAGGGAACUAGGAAAUGGCGGAGGCCCUUUAUUUCAUUUUUAGUUAUGUAUCAAUGUUUUCUUAUGAUGCUAAACAUCAAUUGUUUUAUUUCAAAUAACGUUUAAUUAUAAUAUAUUACAUUUUCAUUUAAAA